AUGGGUGGAAAAAUUAUUUCUACAAGUGGUAAGGCAAUAUUAUUGAAAGUUGUUGCCCAUGCUGUACCUAUUUUUGCUAUGACUGUGUUUAGCAUUCAUAAGAGGAUAUGCAAAGAGAUUACAAAUAUUAUAUCCUAGUUCUGGUGGGGAGAUAAUGAGGAGCAUAGAAGAAAGCAUUGGGUCGCAUGGUGGAAAUUUUGUUUUUCGAAAAGUGAAGGAGGUAUGGGAUUCUGAGAUCUCUAUUCUUUCAAUUUGGCCUUGCUUGCACACAAAGCGUACAUAGUAGUUGCGUCGGUGACAAGCGGCUCACGAAGGCAUCUCCUACGCCUCAUUGACGUCUGCCAGCUAGUCGCUGACCCUAAUUUCGGCGAUGAAACACCAGCGACGCCGAUUGAAACAGUGGCCGAUUGGCUCGGUCACGGUGGUCGCGUGACUAUCUGCGGUAGCUCCGGUGGCCAGUAG
Molecule: ribosomal RNA, 462 nt
Filed under: Triticum aestivum (bread wheat)
Lineage: Eukaryota; Viridiplantae; Streptophyta; Magnoliopsida; Poales; Poaceae
Description: partial small subunit ribosomal RNA
Source: RNAcentral